Molecule: long non-coding RNA, 261 nt
Filed under: Physcomitrium patens
Lineage: Eukaryota; Viridiplantae; Streptophyta; Bryopsida; Funariales; Funariaceae
Description: long non-coding RNA (PPAT_LNC005983)
Source: RNAcentral
UGAAAAAUUGUAUCUUAGUACUUACCUACAUUUUUGUGCUAUAAUUUGUUGAAGAAAGAAAUAUACUAAGUAUGGUUUUAGGAAAAAUUAUAGUUGUAAAUUUUAAACUAUUAACCAAUUUUUAGUGAAUUUUUAAGUAGAAGCGGGUCUGUUGCCUAGGCAGCUCAAGUCACCUUACUUUGAAAACACAUAGCUUGGACAUCAAACCUCGGAUCACCAUGAAAUUUGGUAGAUAGGAGCAACUUUAAAUAAAGUUGACAU